UACGUAGGGGGCAAGCGUUGUCCGGAAUAAUUGGGCGUAAAGAGCGUGUAGGCGGCCCGAUAAGUCCGCUGUGAAAGUCCAGGGCUCAACCCUGGGAUGCCGGUGGAUACUGUCGGGCUCGAGUCCGGAAGAGGAGUGUGGAAUUCCUGGUGUAGCGGUGAAAUGCGCAGAUAUCAGGAGGAACACCAAUGGCGAAGGCAGCACUCUGGGACGUGACUGACGCUGAGACGCGAAAGCGUGGGGAGCAAACAG
This 252-nucleotide ribosomal RNA is filed under the name uncultured bacterium. RNAcentral's name for it is "partial 16S ribosomal RNA". It matches the Rfam family "Bacterial small subunit ribosomal RNA", at positions 524 to 775 of the family's 1533-position model. The record is from RNAcentral.